Kluyvera intermedia is the source of this 113-nucleotide non-coding RNA. NCBI's taxonomy places the organism in Bacteria, Pseudomonadati, Pseudomonadota, Gammaproteobacteria, Enterobacterales, Enterobacteriaceae. The record is from Rfam.
AAAGCCCCGAUUAUCUUCCAGUUUGGCGACGGGUAAAGAUAAUCAGGGCUAGGUACGAAACCUAAGAAGGAUUAUAACCUAUGUAUUCCUCAAAGCAACCCCUGUUCGCCAUA